Molecule: long non-coding RNA, 1019 nt
Organism: Myotis brandtii (Brandt's bat)
Lineage: Eukaryota; Metazoa; Chordata; Mammalia; Chiroptera; Vespertilionidae
Exons: 3
Source: RefSeq, a predicted model, not a curated record
UUAGUGUGCUUGACCAAAGGUGACUUCAUGGUCUAAGGUCGUGCCCUCCCCCCUUCUGAAUCGAUAAUUUAAUGUGACUUAUCAGAAAGGGAAAGAACUGUUUACUUUAAAAGCCUGGAUUCCAUAAAGGGAGAGGGACAAGGCCUAAAACCCACAGAAGCCCGGGACUCACACUCACGGCCGCCCCCAAGCAGAACAGGGAGCCUGGACCAGAGAAGGGGCCCUGGGCUGAGGACUCGAGCAACUGAAAGAUUAUUGAAAGCCAGAGCACACAGAGCUCACCGGGGGGAGUGGAGGGGCCGGAUGCUGCUAUAGGACUGUUACUGCGCGAAGCUGGUGAGGUGCCUGGUGAUUGGUGGCCAGGGUGGAUGGAUGUGCGGGUGAAGUUAACACCAUCACAGCCACAGACGUUCCUUAGCAGAGCUGUGGAGUGUGACAAUGGUGUUUGUGUCCAAACUAUCAAACGCCAUUAUCACACUAAAUAGCUACUGUUAGGCAAUCCUUCCGCUCAAUAAAUGCUUUGGCAUCUGUUUGGAAUGAGCAAGAAGGUUCCGCUUAGAGCAGUGUUGCCAGUUUUGUGUGGUUACUGAAUAAAUUCCGGUCCCUUUAUGCUCAUAACCAAUAUGUCAUCUGAACUGUGCCUCUCGCAUGCUGUUAAAUACUUGAGUUGAUGAUGAAUGUUCUUGUUUUCCUGAGCCAAUAAAAGGAUCACAGAGCUCCCCUACCCCCAAAGCACCCAGCCUGAGGCUAGGCACAUGGUAAUUGUUCAACCCACGCUAUUGAGUUGAAAUGAAUAGUUAAGCAAGUGUUAGACACAGAAAACUAAAACCAGGUUAGACCUACUAGUAAGUUAUGCAAACCACAGGUUUAUCGGUACAAUAUUAAGGUAUGUGGGUCUUUUACUUUUCAUCAUUAAAAAACGUAAGUUUUCUAAUAACUGACCUAUCAGAAAUUCUAGAAUAAUAAAAGAAUGGGCCUGCAUAUAUGCAUAACCCAUGGACACAGACAAUAGUGCAGUG